GUGCCAGCAGCCGCGGUAAUACGUAGGUGACAAGCGUUAUCCGGAAUUACUGGGCGUAAAGCGCACGCAGGCGGCGCACUAAGUCUGACGUGAAAUCUCCUGGCUUAACUGGGAGGGGUCGUUGGAGACUGGAGUGCUUGAGGCGAUGAGAGGGGUGUAGAAUUCCCGGUGUAGUGGUGGAAUGCGUAGAUAUCGGGAGGAAUACCAGUGGCGAAAGCGACACCCUGGCAUUAGCCUGACGCUCAGGUGCGAAGGCGUGGGGAGCGAACGGGAUUAGAAACCCUGGUAGUCC
RNAcentral lists this ribosomal RNA (292 nucleotides) under uncultured bacterium. RNAcentral's name for it is "partial 16S ribosomal RNA". It matches the Rfam family "Bacterial small subunit ribosomal RNA", at positions 505 to 796 of the family's 1533-position model. The record is from RNAcentral.